RNAcentral lists this ribosomal RNA (495 nucleotides) under uncultured bacterium. RNAcentral's name for it is "partial 16S ribosomal RNA". It matches the Rfam family "Bacterial small subunit ribosomal RNA", at positions 28 to 523 of the family's 1533-position model. The record is from RNAcentral.
GAUGAACGCUGGCGGCAUGCCUAAUACAUGCAAGUCGAACGGGGUGCUUGCACCCAGUGGCGAACGGGUAAGUAACACGUAUCUAAUCUACCUAAUAGUGGGGGACAACAGUUGGAAACGACUGCUAAUACCGCAUAAUCCAACUAAAGACAUCUUUGGUUGAUAAAAGGUGCUUCGGCAUCGCUGUUAGAUGAGGGUGCGGCGUAUUAGUUAGUUGGUGGGGUAAUGGCCUACCAAGACAGUGAUACGUAGCCGACCUGAGAGGGUGAUCGGCCACAGCGGGGCUGAGACACGGCCCGAACUCCUACGGGAGGCAGCAGUAGGGAAUUUUUCACAAUGGCGAAAGCCUGAUGGAGCAAUGCCGCGUGAUCGAUGAAGGUCUUCGGAUUGUAAAGAUCUGUUGUUAGGGAAGAAAUGAUCGGAGAGGUAAUGCUCUGAUUUUGACGGUACCUAACCAGAAAGCCACGGCUAACUAUGUGCCAGCCGCCGCGGUAA